This is a non-coding RNA of Glycine max (soybean), 151 nucleotides long. The record is from Rfam. NCBI's taxonomy places the organism in Eukaryota, Viridiplantae, Streptophyta, Magnoliopsida, Fabales, Fabaceae.
AUAAAAUGACAACGGAUAUCUCGGCUCUUGCAUCGAUGAAGAACGUAGCGAAAUGCGAUACUUGGUGUGAAUUGCAGAAUCCUGUGAACCAUCGAGUCUUUGAACGCAAGUUGCAUCCGAAUUGUAGUCUGGAGAAGCGUCCUCAGUGGCG